RNAcentral lists this long non-coding RNA (210 nucleotides) under Naja naja (Indian cobra). Its description in RNAcentral is "lncRNA (ENSNNAG00000005892.1)". Lineage: Eukaryota; Metazoa; Chordata; Lepidosauria; Squamata; Elapidae. The record is from RNAcentral.
AAAAAAUACACCACCUUUGGUUCCUUUCAUUUUUGUGUAACUAAGUAAAAUUUUCAUUGCUCUUUAACUUUAUUCAAAUACAUCUGAUUAUUAUACAGAUGCAGCUCCGGAACUAUAAUGCUGGGUCUUUGGAUUUGUUUUUCACUACAAAUUGUUUCACUAGAGGAAAUUAAUGGAAAGAAAACACUUGAAGAAAGAAAUUGACAGGAA